CCUACGGGCGGCAGCAGUGAGGAAUAUUGGUCAAUGGGCGGAAGCCUGAACCAGCCAAGUAGCGUGCAGGAUGACGGCCCUACGGGUUGUAAACUGCUUUUAUACGGGAAUAACGCGCCUUACGUGUAGGGCUUUGCAUGUACCGUAUGAAUAAGGACCGGCUAAUUCCGUGCCAGCAGCCGCGGUAAUACGGAAGGUCCGGGCGUUCUCCGGAUUUAUUGGGUUUAAAGGGAGCGUAGGACGCAUGUUAAGCGUGCUGUGAAAGGUCCGGGCUCAACCCGGGCCUUGCAGCGCGAACUGGCGUGCUUGAGUCCGCUGAAGGCAGGCGGAAUUCGUCGUGGAGCGGUGAAAUGCUUAGAUAUGACGAAGAACCCCGAUUGCGAAGGCAGCUUGCUGCAGCGGAACUGACGCUGAUGCUCGAAAGCGCGGGUAUCGAACAGGAUUAGAUACCCGGGUAGUC
Molecule: ribosomal RNA, 460 nt
Filed under: uncultured bacterium
Lineage: Bacteria
Description: partial 16S ribosomal RNA
Rfam family: Bacterial small subunit ribosomal RNA
Source: RNAcentral